AGUGAACGCUGGCGGUAGGCCUAACACAUGCAAGUCGAACGGCAGCACAGUAAGAGCUUGCUCUUACGGGUGGCGAGUGGCGGACGGGUGAGGAAUACAUCGGAAUCUACUUUUUCUUGGGGGAUAACGUAGGGAAACUUACGCUAAUACCGCAUACGACCUACGGGUGAAAGCAGGGGAUCUUCGGACCUUGCGCGAUUGAAUGAGCCGAUGUCGGAUUAGCUAGUUGGCGGGGUAAAGGCCCACCAAGGCGACGAUCCGUAGCUGGUCUGAGAGGAUGAUCAGCCACACUGGAACUGAGACACGGUCCAGACUCCUGCGGGAGGCAGCAGUGGGGAAUAUUGGACAAUGGGCGCAAGCCUGAUCCAGCCAUACCGCGUGGGUGAAGAAGGCCUUCGGGUUGUAAAGCCCUUUUGUUGGGAAAGAAAAGCAGCAGGUUAAUACCCCGCUGUUCUGACGGUACCCAAAGAAUAAGCACCGGCUAACUUCGUG
RNAcentral lists this ribosomal RNA (492 nucleotides) under uncultured bacterium. Its description in RNAcentral is "partial 16S ribosomal RNA". It matches the Rfam family "Bacterial small subunit ribosomal RNA", at positions 29 to 507 of the family's 1533-position model. The record is from RNAcentral.